UGCAGUCGAACGAAGUAGCAAUACUUAGUGGCAGACGGGUGAGUAACAUGUGGGUAUCUACCCUUUGGCCUGGAAUAACACGAGGAAACUUGUGCUAAUACCGGAUAAGUCUUUACGGAGAAAGCUUUAUGCACCAUUGGAUGAGCCCGCACUUGAUUAGUUUGUUGGUAGGGUAAUGGCCUACCAAGACUGUGAUCAAUAGCUGAUUUGAGAGGAUGAUCAGCCACAUUGGGACUGAGACACGGCCCAAACUCCUACGGGAGGCAGCAGUGGGGAAUCUUGCACAAUGGAGGAAACUCUGAUGCAGCGAUGCCGCGUGAGUGAAGAAGGCCCUUGGGUUGUAAAGCUCUUUCGUCGGGGAAGAAAAUGACUGUACCCGAAUAAGAAGGUCCGGCUAACUUCGUGCCAGCAGCCGCGGUAAUACGAAGGGACCUAGCGUAGUUCGGAAUUACUGGGCUUAAAGAGUUCGUAGGUGGUUGAAAAAGUUGGUGGUGAAAUCCCAGAGCUUAACUCUGGAACUGCCAUCAAAACUUUUCAGCUAGAGUAUGAUAGAGGAAAGCAGAAUUUCUAGUGUAGAGGUGAAAUUCGUAGAUAUUAG
RNAcentral lists this ribosomal RNA (598 nucleotides) under uncultured bacterium. Its description in RNAcentral is "bacterial SSU rRNA". It matches the Rfam family "Bacterial small subunit ribosomal RNA", at positions 56 to 700 of the family's 1533-position model. The record is from RNAcentral.